GGUAACACUAACUGGAGGACCGAACCGACUAAUGUUGAAAAAUUAGCGGAUGACUUGUGGCUGGGGGUGAAAGGCCAAUCAAACCGGGAGAUAGCUGGUUCUCCCCGAAAGCUAUUUAGGUAGCGCCUCGUGAACUCAUCUUCGGGGGUAGAGCACUGUUUCGGCUAGGGGGUCAUCCCGACUUACCAACCCGAUGCAAACUACGAAUACCGAAGAAUGUUAUCACGGGAGACACACGGCGGGUGCUAACGUCCGUCGUGAAGAGGGAA
This 269-nucleotide ribosomal RNA is filed under the name Klebsiella quasipneumoniae subsp. similipneumoniae. RNAcentral's name for it is "partial 23S ribosomal RNA". It matches the Rfam family "Bacterial large subunit ribosomal RNA", at positions 755 to 1021 of the family's 2925-position model. The record is from RNAcentral. Lineage: Bacteria; Pseudomonadati; Pseudomonadota; Gammaproteobacteria; Enterobacterales; Enterobacteriaceae.